UGCUAUUGUAAUUCAUCCUUGUGAGCCAGGAGUAACUGAAUGGAUCAAUGUCUACAACCUAAAAUGGUGCGUCUUGUAGUGACGGACCAGUUCCUGAUCUUUGUUGGAUGGGACAGGGUCACCACUCCCUUGUAUAUCAGGAUUUGUGUAUUUUAAUGGGAUUAAUGGAUAUAAUACCGUGCGUCUUGUAGUGACGAACCAGUUCCUGAUCUUUGUUGGACGGGACUGGGUCACCACUCCCUUGUAUAUCAGGAUUUGUGUAUUUUAAAGUCAUUUAUUGAUAUUU
Long non-coding RNA from Amphimedon queenslandica, 286 nucleotides. RefSeq lists it as uncharacterized. The record is from RefSeq and is a predicted model, not a curated record. The transcript has 3 exons. Lineage: Eukaryota; Metazoa; Porifera; Demospongiae; Haplosclerida; Niphatidae.